UACGUAGGGUGCGAGCGUUAAUCGGAAUUACUGGGCGUAAAGCGUGCGCAGGCGGUUCGUUAAGUUCGUUGUGAAAGCCCCGGGCUCAACCUGGGAACUGCAAUGGAAACUGGCGAGCUUGAGUGUGGCAGAGGGGGGUGGAAUUCCGCGUGUAGCAGUGAAAUGCGUAGAGAUGCGGAGGAACACCGAUGGCGAAGGCAGCCCCCUGGGCCAACACUGACACUGAGGCACGAAAGCGUGGGGAGCAAACAGG
Molecule: ribosomal RNA, 253 nt
Filed under: uncultured bacterium
Lineage: Bacteria
Description: partial 16S ribosomal RNA
Rfam family: Bacterial small subunit ribosomal RNA
Source: RNAcentral